Long non-coding RNA from Vespa mandarinia (Asian giant hornet), 2536 nucleotides. The record is from RefSeq and is a predicted model, not a curated record. Lineage: Eukaryota; Metazoa; Arthropoda; Insecta; Hymenoptera; Vespidae.
CUCACUCUUCUAAAGAUGACCCCACGAAUGGAAACGUAGACUCGAGACGGAGGUGAUCCUCCUCUUCUUACGAUUACGAGUCCGUACAGCAAGGUCAAAGUACGUUUAUCGGCAAGAGAUAGGAUUUCCUGCUGUCGUCUGGCCAGACGAGGAUUGUAUUGCCAAUAUUUAUUGCAUACAGAGUGUGAACCGUGUAAUAUGAUCAAUUGAGAAUUGUUUUUCCUGAGGAAUUUGCAUCGUCGGUAAAAAUCUUAGAGACUCGCCAAAAGAGAGAAAACCGAUGGAAUCCUUCAAUAAGCAAGAAGUUAUCGGGACAUGGUACUUCUCGUCCGGUUGAAUUCUCUCUCUCUCUCUCUCUCUCUCUCUCUCUCUCUCUCUCUCUCUCUCUGUCUCUUAGUCGCAGUGACGUUCUCGUUUUCUAAAGAAGGAAUAAUAGGAGCUAUGACGUCGAUACCACCGGCUCUUAGAAAGGGUAGUAAGGGAGAGGGAGGGAAGCAUUCGAGGGGUGAGAAACAAAGGUUUUCAUCCGUCGAGACCCAUAACCUAGUACGCAUAUCGUGUCAUGCGACUCCUGAUAUAUUCCACAAUUAACCUUACUAAUAAAUUAUUGCUCUAGCGACUUCUCGUUGGUAAGAAACCAAUGAGUACAAUCAUAUCACGUGACCCCAAGCCACGUUGGAUUAUCCGACAGUUCGCAGUGCCCUUGAAAGCAGUCAUUUAUAAUAUUUUCUUAGAUAGACGCGUUAGCUGGUCAUGUGUUUCGAUCAAUGAACUUUCCUUAAUGCCUUCUAUGCGUGUAAAUAGUAAGACAUACAGGAAUCGAGUAAAGAAACUCUAUAUAUAUAUAUAUAUAUAUAUAUAUAUAUAUAUAUAUAUAUAUAUAUAUACAUAGAGAGAGAGAGAGAGAGAGAGAGAUAGAGAGAGAGUGAAAACAAGAAAGAAACUAAGGAAGGAAGGAAAGAAGGAAGGAAAAACGAAUCGGGUCGCGUUGGGUCGUUCGCCAGGAAAUCAGUCAACCGGUUUCGUCGCCGUCGUCGUCGUCGUCGUUGAGAGGGAAAGAGACGACGUAGAUGAAGAGGUUGAAACAUAGAGUAAGCAUAGAGAAAGAAGAUGGAGAGGAAGGAGAAGAGAGGAGAGAAUAGGUAUCGGCGUGAGUACUUCUCCCCUCUUUUCGCGUAGCGUCUUUUUUCCUCCUUUUCUCCCUGACUCUUCUCUUUUCUGUUGUUAGUUCCCUUGUCGAAGGAACGAAAAAGACCGAAAAGCUACGAGAGUUGCCGAGUAAAGACGAGAAGCAACGAGGAGAUACGAGGAAGGCCGAGGAGAGUCGCGCACCGCGGCGCUGAACGCAGUGCCAUCCGAUAGGCAGCACCGCUUGCUCCGUGGAUCCUUCGCUUCGCUCGCUCGUACGGAAGCCCUGGUUCUCUCUUCGUGCUCUCCCACCUUUUUUCUCUUUCCCUCUCUCUCUUUUUUUCCUUCCUUCUCUCUCUCUCUGUUUUUAUCAGAGAGAGAGGGAGAGAGAGACGAGCAAGCUUCCUCAUUUCUCGCGUCUCUUUCUCUUUCGAUAGUCGAAGUAAUAUUAUUGUGGGCCUUGGUGCGCCUUUUUGUUGUCGUUCGUUCGUUCGUUGCUCACACGCACGCUCGCACGCACGCACGCACCCACGCACGCACGCAUGCACGCACGCAGCGUGAACGAUUUCGCACGAUAUACACAAACAUAUACAUAUGUAUAGGAGUAAUACAUAGACGCAGUGAAUCUUACGCGACGCACGUCUCUCUCUCUCGUCCCUCUCUCUCUCUCUCUCUCUCUCUCUCUCUCUCUCUCUCUCUCUCUCUCUCUCUCUCUCUCUCUCUCUUUCUCUGUCUUUCUCUCUCUCUUUGAUCUCUCUUUCGUGGCCUGGAAAACACGGAGAUUCACAUGGUGUGGACGUCAUCGUUGUCAUCGUCGUCAACGUCAUCAUCGUUAUCGUCAGCGUCAUCGUCGCAAUCUAUCUUCCAUCAUCGUGCUGUGAUUGUCGCUGUGUAUCGUUGUUGAUGAUCAUCGCCGUUGUACCGUUGCGUACACGCACACACAUGUAUUACGCAUCGUCGACGUGAGCAGAAGCACCCCCUCCCCUUGCAGCUCAUCAAGGAGCGGACGCGUGCUGGUCAACACGAUAAAUUCAAUAGAUGCAUAUCCCGAAGGAAACGCGUAUCUCCCGUGCCAUCGGAGAGAAAAGCUUGCAAUAGCAAUUGGCGAGAUAUCGGAAGAAGAGAAGGAAAGAAAGAAGAAAGAAGAAAGAAGAAAGAAGAGAAAAGAUCGAAGAAGAAAAAAGAUGCAAAGUAGCAAAGGAUUCUUCGGAUUUCUCGAGGAUCAUCGUUCUAUCAUUCUCGAAUGCAUUGAUAGUCUUUGUUCGCGAUGAUGGAGGAAACAGAGCCGAUACUUUCUUUAAUUAUCAGAGAGACCGGAGGACGCAGGUAUUUCGAUAUCGGCUCGGUGAUAGAUAAAUGUCAGUUUUUACUCGGAUAACAAGAUCCUCGGGAAGAGGAAUUGGAAUAA